RNAcentral lists this non-coding RNA (100 nucleotides) under Knoellia sinensis. RNAcentral describes it as "Glycine sequence". It matches the Rfam family "Glycine riboswitch aptamer". Rfam says of the family: This family represents the bacterial glycine riboswitch. Lineage: Bacteria; Bacillati; Actinomycetota; Actinomycetes; Micrococcales; Intrasporangiaceae. The record is from RNAcentral.
AAACACCGUGCGGGAGAGUCCCUGGUCCUUCACCGGAGCCGGGGCGCCGAAGGGGCAAACUCCCCGGAACCUCUCAGGCGCAAAGGACUGCACGGAUCAG